GUGAGGAAUAUUGGUCAAUGGACGGAAGUCUGAACCAGCCAAGUAGCGUGCAGGAUGACGGCCCUAUGGGUUGUAAACUGCUUUUAUGCGGGGGUAAAGUGAGUGACGUGUCAUUCAUUGCAAGUACCGCAAGAAUAAGGACCGGCUAAUUCCGUGCCAGCAGCCGCGGUAAUACGGAAGGUCCUGGUGUUAUCCGGAUUUAUUGGGUUUAAAGGGAGCGUAGGCCGUCAGGCAAGCGUGUUGUGAAAUGUCGUGGCUCAACCAUGGACUUGCAGCGCAAACUGCCGCACUUAAGUGCGCGGAAAGCAGGCGGAAUUUUUGGUGUAGCGGUGAAAUGCUUAGAUAUCACGAAGAACCCCGAUUGCGAAGGCAGCCUGCUGUAGCGCUACUGACGCUGAGGUGCGAAAGCCGGGGGAGCGAACGGGAUUAGAUACCCUAGUAGUCC
Molecule: ribosomal RNA, 445 nt
Filed under: uncultured bacterium
Lineage: Bacteria
Description: partial 16S ribosomal RNA
Rfam family: Bacterial small subunit ribosomal RNA
Source: RNAcentral